UACGAAGGGGGCUAGCGUUGCUCGGAAUUACUGGGCGUAAAGGGCGCGUAGGCGGCUCAUACAGUCAGAUGUGAAAUUCCUGGGCUUAACCUGGGGGCUGCAUUUGAUACGUGUGGGCUUGAGUGGGGAAGAGGGUCGUGGAAUUCCCAGUGUAGAGGUGAAAUUCGUAGAUAUUGGGAAGAACACCGGUGGCGAAGGCGGCGACCUGGUCCUUGACUGACGCUGAGGCGCGAAAGCGUGGGGAGCAAACAGG
RNAcentral lists this ribosomal RNA (253 nucleotides) under uncultured bacterium. RNAcentral's name for it is "partial 16S ribosomal RNA". It matches the Rfam family "Bacterial small subunit ribosomal RNA", at positions 524 to 776 of the family's 1533-position model. The record is from RNAcentral.